Molecule: long non-coding RNA, 950 nt
Filed under: Homo sapiens (human)
Lineage: Eukaryota; Metazoa; Chordata; Mammalia; Primates; Hominidae
Description: HSALNT0386075
Source: RNAcentral
GAAUGUUCCUUGCUGCAGAUGCAUUGGCCCCAUCUGCAGGUCCUCUUUGACACCUACCUUACUCUCUCCCUCCACUCACACUCUGAGAACUGUGCUCAGGGGCAGCGCUACAACUUCCACAUUGGUCUUUACAGGGCUUGAGUGAUUAUUUCAAGAACAGAACGCUGUGUGGAAACCUUUACCAUAUUUCGUUGUAUCUAAGACACAUUUUUUUUUUUUGAAAUUUAACAUCUCUAAGGUUGGGUUAUGUUUCUUCAUCAUUGUCAGGUUGGAGCUUAAUCAGCAGCACUUUUUUUUAAUGUCACACACAGUAAUGGUGAUGCAUCUCACAAUUGAGAUCAUCUUAGACAUGAUGGAAUAUGGAAUCGUGUGCCUGUUACAAGCCAGGCUCUUGUCUGGGUUCUAGAGACGGUGGAAACCAAGACAGCACCAUCCUCUAGUGGUGUUCACAUCCCACCACAGUGGAGUCAGGACUUUGAAGUCCUCCAUUGGAUCUUCUCGGAAGAUGAGGGAAAUGAGAGAGUGUGGAGAGAGAUUUUGUAAGUCCGGUCUGGAAGUGGUCAUUGUUCAGAAUCCAGCCACGUGGGUACAUGGAACUGUAAGCUGUCUCUUAGCGAAGAAUAAAACUGUGGACUGACCCCCACCCAUUUGCGAAGAAAGUACUGGGUCUUCAGCUUUCAUUGUUCAGCCGGUGGUCUUUGUGGACAACACCAGGGGCCCCUCCUGCUGAAGACUGUCUGGACUUCCUGAUUUUCACUCCUGUAUAAACCCCCUCCCCCAUUACUACCUUUGUCUCCUUGGGGAAAAAAAAUGUUUUUCACUUAAGCAAAAUAAUAACUACCCAGUAUUUGUUUCUGGAGUGAAAUUGUAAACUUCAUUGUACAUUCUUCCUGGCUUUGAUGCUUAUCGUGAAGAGUUCAGUGAAAAUAAAUUGUUUUUAUGAAAGCAGA